CUCUCUACCUGUAACUCAGGAAGACCAGCUCCCUGACUGCCUUCUGUGCUAGGGAUCACUUCCUUAUUGAGUGGGACCUGAGUUUAGAUAGGGUGUUCUGCUCCUCUUCAUCUGGCCCCUUUCCUUCCAAGGCCCCAGAGAGGAAGGCAUGGGGUGGGCACUAGCCCUGCUUCUAGCUUUCCUGCCUCCUGCCAGUCAGAAAUCUUCCAACUUGGAAGGGAGAAUGAAGACAGUCACUGGAACAACAGGGUCAUCUGCUGUAAUCACUUGUAAUCUUCCUGGAGAAAAUAUCUUAUACAUCCACUGGUACCUCCACCAGGAGGGGAAGGCCCCACAGCGUCUUCUGUACUGUGACACCUACAACGCCAGGGUUAUGUUGGAUUCAGGAAUCAGUCCAGGGCAGAUGGAUAGCUAUGCAAUCAUGAGGAGGAGCUCGAAAUUGAUAGUGCAAAAUCUAAUUGAAAAUGAUUCUGGGGUCUAUUAUUUUGCCACCUGGGACAGGCACAGUGGUUCAGACCUGCCUACACCACACUGAAAUCUGCCUUGUGGCAGCUUGUAGUACAGAAGAUAGAGCUGUCCCCUCUCAUUUCCUGCCACUGAAUUUACUGUAGUCUGUACAAAGAGAAGCACAGUUUUACUCCUGACUUCCCCCUAAUAUCACACUCCCUGGCAGCAGCUGCACCUGUUCCCCACCUCUCCCCGAGGACUUUCCUGAAGACCAAGCUGCCAUCUCCAGGCCUCAGCUAAGCAGCCUGCCUGAGAGCAAGGUUCUCUCAGCUCUCCUAGGACAUGGGUGAGGCCCACUCAGUCAGCUCCCUAGUGUCCAGCUGUCAAGAGAGAGAUUUUGGACAGAAAAUGGGAAGGAUAUUUAUACUGGAUCAUGUAUCCAGUCAUUGUCUAGAGAUUGCAGCUUUGAGUGGUGUUCAUCUCCUAUGUCUAUAGCAAUAUAAGGAGUAAUAUAAUUACCACUAAAUUACUCGGCCUAGAUGUGCAGUUGAACCUUCUCUCCCACUGCCCUCCUUAUUCUUUCUCUGCUUUC
Sapajus apella (tufted capuchin) is the source of this 1039-nucleotide non-coding RNA. NCBI's taxonomy places the organism in Eukaryota, Metazoa, Chordata, Mammalia, Primates, Cebidae. The record is from the annotation of a RefSeq genome assembly.